UACAGAGGGGGCAAGCGUUAUUCGGAAUUAUUGGGCGUAAAGGGUGCGUAGACGGCGGGGUAAGUCAGGUGUGAAAUCUCGGGGCUCAACCCCGAAACUGCACUUGAUACUGCCUCGCUUGAGUACUGGAGAGGAGACUGGAAUUUACGGUGUAGCAGUGAAAUGCGUAGAUAUCGUAAGGAAGACCAGUGGCGAAGGCAAUCCCCUGGGCCUGUACUGACGCUCAUGCACGAAAGCGUGGGGAGCAAACAGG
RNAcentral lists this ribosomal RNA (253 nucleotides) under uncultured bacterium. RNAcentral's name for it is "partial 16S ribosomal RNA". It matches the Rfam family "Bacterial small subunit ribosomal RNA", at positions 524 to 776 of the family's 1533-position model. The record is from RNAcentral.